RNAcentral lists this long non-coding RNA (494 nucleotides) under Anas platyrhynchos platyrhynchos (common mallard). RNAcentral describes it as "lncRNA (ENSAPLG00000028294.1)". The record is from RNAcentral. Lineage: Eukaryota; Metazoa; Chordata; Aves; Anseriformes; Anatidae.
GCUGGGGGUGCCUGCUAAGUGUUAAAUGGGAAGGGGGUGGGGGGUUGCUGGCCCCUUGUCCUGGUGGCACAGGGAGGGGCAUAGAAUUGCUUUCUCUCUCCCAGCUCCUGGACCGCUGGCUUUAGCUCUGAUGAAAAAGAGCCCUCAGAAAGGAUGAGCAUGGCCGGAUAACCCCUGACUGAAGGAACUGGCAGGGCUAAUGACUCCAGAAGUGCCAUGGGAUUUUAUACAGCCUGAGGAAGUGGCUCAGAGGCAACUUGGAGAGUUGGACUUGGUUCCUGGCCUCGCAGAAUAAAAAUCCUCAAACCGUGCUCACAGUUCCAUGGCUGGGGGUGAUCUCCAUUCUGUGUCAGGAGCCUGGAGCCCAGCCCUGGCUGACCCCAGACCCUGAGAUGGCAGUGCUGUGGUGUGCAGCAUCCUCUCCUGGUCCUCUUUCAUCCCUGUCUCUCAGGAGCAUCCUGCUCAGGCUGGACAUGCAGGGCGAGUUUGCAAAU